This is a long non-coding RNA of Boleophthalmus pectinirostris (great blue-spotted mudskipper), 1249 nucleotides long. RefSeq lists it as uncharacterized. NCBI's taxonomy places the organism in Eukaryota, Metazoa, Chordata, Actinopteri, Gobiiformes, Gobiidae. The transcript is spliced from 3 exons. The record is from RefSeq and is a predicted model, not a curated record.
AUGCUGUUGAUGGUGCACCCCUGAUGAGGGCACACGGUGUAUUGGGACAACACCGUGACCAGGAUGGCCUUCAUCAUCACCAUGGCGAUGUGUUUGCCCACACAUGAACGAGGGCCGCAACCGAAGGGCUGGAAAUAACGGGUUUUGCUUGAGCAGCAUGAGCAUGAAGAAGAGCGAGAUGGAGAGAGUGUCUGGAGCUGCAAUCACCAUCUCCAGCACACAUUGGCGGACGUUUUCUGGUGACAGUUCCCCAUGGUUCUAAUUGACAGAAAAGGAACAGCUUGUUGGAGAUGUCAACCACUAUGGCCCUGAGCAGAUUGAGGGUGUCUACGUGACCAGACGGACCAGUCACCUCAUGCAGGUUGUCCAGGAAUUUGGUUGUAGAGCUCACACAGAUAGACACUGUCCUUUGGAGCCCUGGGCCUGUCAGAGCUGGGACAGACAUACAGCAAAAAUUAUAGCUGUAUAGUUUUUUAUAUGCACACAGUCAACAAUUAUGAUCUUUGUUUUGUUUUUUUGUUUUGUUUUUUACUUAGAACUGUGUGUUGAAAUAAUUGUUUUCUUACCUUUAGAAAAAUAUGUUCUUGCUUUUUUCCAAAGAGCCACAUCACUAUUGAAAAUUAUGCCAUUUCCCGCCAUCCCAAUAGUCUCUAGUCCUUUUUUGCUCCCAAAUCUUGCUACAUAGUGAGGACUUCUCAAAAUAUGAUAAACUGCAGAUGACCUAUGUAAAAAAUGUACAUGGUUAUUUUCAGAAAUAUUCGGAAAGAACAGAAGGUUGACUUACUUGCUAAUAAUCAAAGUUUCCUCGCCAUUGAUCCACACCCGCACGAUGCUGCCGUAUUUCUUGUUAUAAUAGUUGCAUGCCGUACCAAUGCCAGUCCAAAUAAAGCGACUGUAGGAAAGAACUGGGCCAAGUCCUAAUAAGAAAUGAGGUCCUAUAUAUAAAAAAAUAAAGAUUAGCAUUGAUGCAGUAAUAUAAUACAUAUAACACAGUAUAUAGUCAUAGAUGGGAAGAAUACUUCAAAAAUGUAUUUAGUUACAGAAUACUAAAUACCCAAAUUAAAUGUAUUUUGCAAUGUAUUCUGAUACACGGUCCAAUCAGAGUACUUUUUUCUGAAAAAUUUUACAUCUAGUUGUGUUUAAAUUAUCAUGUAAAGAUGCAACAUAGUAUUAAUUACAGCUUUAUAUUUGUUUAACUGUUUUUAAAUAAUUUCCUAUCACUACAUGGAGAUGGAAAAAUCACACAUGC